This 581-nucleotide long non-coding RNA is filed under the name Brassica napus (rape). RNAcentral's name for it is "long non-coding RNA (BNAP_LNC017177)". Lineage: Eukaryota; Viridiplantae; Streptophyta; Magnoliopsida; Brassicales; Brassicaceae. The record is from RNAcentral.
AGCGGUGGAUUUUGAUUGCUAAACUGCCAGUUGAUUUUACGGGAUGAUUUUGGGUUGCCUUUUGAUUGCUCCCGGAAUGAUUUUGGGUUUAUGAGUGAUUGAUGUGGGGAGGAGGCAUUAAAGAGGAGAUUCAGAACAGCUGAAAUGUUCAGGAAGAGGCUUGUUCAUGGAAGAUGUAAAGAAUAUGUGAGGUGGCAAUUCAGCUUAGUUGUUUACUUCUUUUUCGAGGCUCUCUCUUGAAGCUGUUUAUCCAAGUUGACUCUUUCACCAGCUCGCAAACUAUCUUUCCUGAUGAUGCUGAGCUCAGACUUCAGCUUCUCCUCCUCCAGCGCAGCUGUUUCUUGUCCCUUCAAAUCACAAGAUCUAAUUAACUUUAGCUUUGAAAUAUUUCGCAUAGCUUAAUUGAUGAGAUCACCAAGAAUCAUUAAGCUCUUAUUAAUGUAUUUCCUUCCAUCAAGCGAACUCCACCAGCAGCCAAUUUCACAGAAACCAAAUUCUAGAUUCCAUUAAAAGAACACCAGUAAGAGAAUAAUAAACAGCUUCCCAAGAAACUUUUACAAGAUGUUAGACUAAGUGAAAGG